CCCUUAGAUGUUCUGGGCUGCACGCGCGCUACACUGAAGCUAUCAACACGUUUUCCCUCCCUGAUAAGGGCGGGUAACCUUUUGAAUCAGCUUCGUGGUAGGGAUCGGGGCUUGCAAUUGUUCCCCGUGAACCAGGAAUUCCUAGUAGACGCGAGUCAUAAGCUCGCAUCGAUUAAGUCCCUGCCCUUUGUACACACCGCCCGUCGCUACUACCGAUUGAACGUUUUAGUGAGGCAUUUGGACCGACGCAUCUCAGUUUAACCGCUGGUUUGUGUUGGAAAGACUUCCAAACUUGAGCGUUUAGAGGAAGUAAAAGUCGUAACA
This 324-nucleotide ribosomal RNA is filed under the name uncultured eukaryote. RNAcentral describes it as "partial 18S ribosomal RNA". It matches the Rfam family "Eukaryotic small subunit ribosomal RNA", at positions 1470 to 1796 of the family's 1831-position model. The record is from RNAcentral.